RNAcentral lists this ribosomal RNA (495 nucleotides) under uncultured bacterium. Its description in RNAcentral is "partial 16S ribosomal RNA". It matches the Rfam family "Bacterial small subunit ribosomal RNA", at positions 28 to 507 of the family's 1533-position model. The record is from RNAcentral.
GACGAACGCUGGCGGCGUGCCUAAUACAUGCAAGUCGAACGCUGAAGGAGGAGCUUGCUUCUCUGGAUGAGUUGCGAACGGGUGAGUAACGCGUAGGUAACCUGCCUGGUAGCGGGGGAUAACUAUUGGAAACGAUAGCUAAUACCGCAUAAGAGUAGAUGUCGCAUGACAUUUGCUUAAAAGGUGCAAUUGCAUCACUACCAGAUGGACCUGCGUUGUAUUAGCUAGUUGGUGAGGUAACGGCUCACCAAGGCAACGAUACAUAGCCGACCUGAGAGGGUGAUCGGCCACACUGGGACUGAGACACGGCCCAGACUCCUACGGGAGGCAGCAGUAGGGAAUCUUCGGCAAUGGACGGAAGUCUGACCGAGCAACGCCGCGUGAGUGAAGAAGGUUGUCGGAUCGUAAAGCUCUGUUGUAAGAGAAGAACGAGUGUGAGAGUGGAAAGUUCACACUGUGACGGUAGCUUACCAGAAAGGGACGGCUAACUACGUG